ACGAACGCUGGCGGCGUGCUUAACCCAUGCAAGUCGAACGGAAAGGCCCUGCUUUUGUGGGGUGCUCGAGUGGCGAACGGGUGAGUAACACGUGAGUAACCUGCCCUUGACUUUGGGAUAACUUCAGGAAACUGGGGCUAAUACCGGAUAGGAGCUCCUGCUGCAUGGUGGGGGUUGGAAAGUUUCGGCGGUUGGGGAUGGACUCGCGGCUUAUCAGCUUGUUGGUGGGUAGUGGCUUACCAAGGCUUUGACGGGUAGCCGGCCUGAGAGGGUGACCGGCCACAUUGGGACUGAGAUACGGCCCAGACUCCUACGGGAGGCAGCAGUGGGGAAUAUUGCACAAUGGGCGGAAGCCUGAUGCAGCAACGCCGCGUGCGGGAUGACGGCCUUCGGGUUGUAAACCGCUUUCGCCUGUGACGAAGCGUGAGUGACGGUAAUGGGUAAAGAAGCACCGGCUAACUACGUG
RNAcentral lists this ribosomal RNA (466 nucleotides) under uncultured bacterium. RNAcentral's name for it is "partial 16S ribosomal RNA". It matches the Rfam family "Bacterial small subunit ribosomal RNA", at positions 29 to 507 of the family's 1533-position model. The record is from RNAcentral.